CUACGGGUUGCACCAGUGAGGAAUAUUGCACAAUGGGGGGAACCCUGAUGCAGCAACGCCGCGUGGAGGAUGACGCAUUUCGGUGUGUAAACUCCUUUUAUAUGUCAAGAAAAUGACGGUAGCAUAUGAAUAAGCACCGGCCAACUCCGUGCCAGCAGCCGCGGUAAUACGGAGGGUGCAAGCGUUACUCGGAAUCACUGGGCGUAAAGGACGCGUAGGCGGGUUGGAAAGUCAGGUGUGAAAUCCUACAGCUUAACUGUAGAACUGCACUUGAAACUUCUAAGCUAGAGUAUGGGAGGGGGAGAUGGAAUUAGUGGUGUAGGGGUAAAAUCCGUAGAUAUCACUAGGAAUACCUAAAGCGAAGGCGAUCUCCUGGAACAUUACUGACGCUAAGGCGUGAAAGCGUGGGGAGCAAACAGGAUUAGAUACCCGCGUAGUC
This 439-nucleotide ribosomal RNA is filed under the name uncultured bacterium. RNAcentral's name for it is "partial 16S ribosomal RNA". It matches the Rfam family "Bacterial small subunit ribosomal RNA", at positions 339 to 795 of the family's 1533-position model. The record is from RNAcentral.